GCGGGCGUAGCUCAGUGGCAGAGCCCGGGAUUUCCACUCCCGUUACGCGGGUUCGAUCCCCGCCGCCCGCU
Molecule: transfer RNA, 71 nt
Filed under: Actinomycetes bacterium
Lineage: Bacteria; Bacillati; Actinomycetota; Actinomycetes
Also listed under: 1 other name
Description: Actinobacteria bacterium tRNA-Gly
Rfam family: tRNA
About the family: Transfer RNA (tRNA) molecules are approximately 80 nucleotides in length.
Source: RNAcentral